Molecule: ribosomal RNA, 433 nt
Filed under: uncultured bacterium
Lineage: Bacteria
Description: partial 16S ribosomal RNA
Rfam family: Bacterial small subunit ribosomal RNA
Source: RNAcentral
AACGAACGCUGGCGGCAUGCCUAACACAUGCAAGUCGAACGAGACCUUCGGGUCUAGUGGCGCACGGGUGCGUAACGCGUGGGAACCUGCCCUUAGGUUCGGAAUAACUCCCCGAAAGGGGUGCUAAUACCGGAUAAUGUCUUCGGACCAAAGAUUUAUCGCCUUUGGAUGGGCCCGCGUUGGAUUAGCUAGUUGGUAGGGUAAAAGCCUACCAAGGCGACGAUCCAUAGCUGGUCUGAGAGGAUGAUCAGCCACACUGGGACUGAGACACGGCCCAGACCCCAGGGGGGGGCAGAGGGGGGUAAGAGGAGAGAAGGGGGAAAGGUCGACCCACGCAGCGCCGGGGGAGAAAAAAGGGCUUUGGGGUUGAAAAUCUUUUUUCGCCGGAAGGAUAAUGACGGUCCGGGGAAAAGAAGCGCCGGCAACCCCGGUG